Molecule: ribosomal RNA, 253 nt
Filed under: uncultured bacterium
Lineage: Bacteria
Description: partial 16S ribosomal RNA
Rfam family: Bacterial small subunit ribosomal RNA
Source: RNAcentral
UACGUAGGGGGCUAGCGUUGUCCGGAAUCAUUGGGCGUAAAGAGCGCGUAGGCGGUCCGGCAAGUCCGCUGUGAAAGUCGGGGGCUCAACCCUCGAAUGCCGGUGGAUACUGUCGGGCUAGAGUGCGGAAGAGGCGAGUGGAAUUCCUGGUGUAGCGGUGAAAUGCGCAGAUAUCAGGAGGAACACCGGUGGCGAAGGCGGAUCUCUGGGCCAUUACUGACGCUGAGGAGCGAAAGCGUGGGGAGCGAACAGG